UUGCAAGCUGUUCUGUUAAGACCCAGGCUGCCUGCUAUCUCCUGUCUUUGUUCCUCACCUCAUUUUGAAGGAUUGUUACACAUUUCAGUGACCUCACAGCUUGCUGAUCAUGAAUCAAGAAUUAACCCUGAAGAAAAUGUAUGGGGAGAAUGUGGCCUCAAACUGAUUCAGAGAAGAGUUAAAAAGAGGAAAUGGACAGCAAACACUCUUCCAGAUUGAAGAAAAAGCAUCCAGGGACUUCCUUUUACAAACCAGAUGGCAGCCUCCAGCUGGCUGCCUUAGAGAUAUUGAAAUUGGAAGACCCAAUAUCUGAGCAGACACGCCCACUUAUAGGAUUUGGUCUGGAACUCAUAAAAGAUCAUUUACAACAGAGGAAGAACAAAAUGUUUCUGCCCAGAGAACUAUGCAAGAAAUUAUGAAGCACACAGGUGAAUAAGCAGGUG
This 443-nucleotide long non-coding RNA is filed under the name Heterocephalus glaber (naked mole-rat). Its description in RNAcentral is "lncRNA (ENSHGLG00100043119.1)". The record is from RNAcentral. Lineage: Eukaryota; Metazoa; Chordata; Mammalia; Rodentia; Bathyergidae.